GCUUACGGCCACACCGCCUGGUUCACGCCCCGAUCUCGGAAGCUAACAUAGGUUGGGCCUGGUUAGUACUUGGAUGGGGAGACCGCCUGGGAAUACCAGGUGCUGUAAGCU
Molecule: ribosomal RNA, 111 nt
Filed under: Scophthalmus maximus (turbot)
Lineage: Eukaryota; Metazoa; Chordata; Actinopteri; Pleuronectiformes; Scophthalmidae
Source: RNAcentral